AGCGUGAGAGAUGAAAACUUGCCCUUAGGUAAGCUCCUAUUUGAGCUGUUUUGGUUCAAAAUUUUGGGCUUACCAAUGGUAGGACUUGUCAUAGUUACACUGACACGCU
Small nucleolar RNA from Gambusia affinis (western mosquitofish), 109 nucleotides. Lineage: Eukaryota; Metazoa; Chordata; Actinopteri; Cyprinodontiformes; Poeciliidae. The record is from Ensembl.